RNAcentral lists this transfer RNA (62 nucleotides) under Asterionellopsis glacialis. It matches the Rfam family "tRNA", at positions 7 to 64 of the family's 71-position model. Rfam says of the family: Transfer RNA (tRNA) molecules are approximately 80 nucleotides in length. Their secondary structure includes four short double-helical elements and three loops (D, anti-codon, and T loops). Further hydrogen bonds mediate the characteristic L-shaped molecular structure. tRNAs have two regions of fundamental functional importance: the anti-codon, which is responsible for specific mRNA codon recognition, and the 3' end, to which the tRNAs corresponding amino acid is attached (by aminoacyl-tRNA synthetases). tRNAs cope with the degeneracy of the genetic code in two manners: having more than one tRNA (with a specific anti-codon) for a particular amino acid; and 'wobble' base-pairing, i.e. permitting non-standard base-pairing at the 3rd anti-codon position. Lineage: Eukaryota; Bacillariophyta; Plagiogrammaphyceae; Rhaphoneidales; Asterionellopsidaceae. The record is from RNAcentral.
AUCGUCUAGCGGUCUAGGACGCCGCCCUUUCACGGCGGAAACACGGGUUCGAUUCCCGUUGG